GCCGGGAGGAGGUGGCGCUGGGACUGGGUUCAGGGGGGCCUCUGGGUGGAGGAGGGCGUGGGGAAUGGCGGCGAGUGGGAGGCAUCCUGGCCCGUCUGCCCCAGGGGCUGGAGCAGGCUGUCCCUGUCGCCUGGCAGGGAGCUCUGCGAGGCUCUCAUUAGUCAGCCGCGCGGGGAGGAGCCGGGUGACCUUACGCUGGCUGGAGCCUCUGCGGCCAUUAGCCCCGGUCCCCUGGCGGCGCGCUGCCUCCAAGUUCCAGAGGCCUUUACAGAGCGGAUAUACCGAACUCCAGCCUGAAAUCGAGGGUCCACAGCACGAAUAAAGAUGCGGGCGUCCAUCGAGUUCCCCAGAGCAUCAGGAAUGAAGCGGCUGAGAUCAGAAUUUCCACACUUGCCAGAGCACGUGGUUUGGGGAACAAGGAGAACCUGCUCUUGGGCUGGGUUUCACAACCUCCCCGGCAUCUCCAGCUGGUCCUGGAACUGAGAACUUUCCAAAUCAAACAUAAUGAAAACACACCCGAGGAAGUGGCAGCAAAAACUGCCAUUGACAGAAGUCUUCCAAUGUGCCAGGCAAUAUUUGCUGAGUGUUUUAUAGGUAUUAACGUACUUGAUCCUCAGGACAACCCCAUGAGUUAUUCCCAUUUUACAGCUGGGGAAACUGAGGCUGGGAGAAGUUGUGUAACUUGUCCAAGGCUGUCCAGUUAGGAAGUAGCAGGGCCUAAAUUUGAACCCAGGCUGUCUGGCUCUGGAGCCCCAAGGCUGUAAUCAGUAUGCUUUUUCUGAAAACGAAAUCCAUCUGGAUUUAGACAUGCUUAUGAGUCAUGCUCAGUAGCCUACUUUCUGUACUUUUUUGUAAUCUGAAAUAUUUUAUUAAAAAAACAAAAUCUCAAAGCUCUGACCAAUGAGGCUAAACGGGGCCGGAUGUGUGCAAAUCAGAGCACUUCUGUAGUGACCUUAAAGAAAAACAUUCUUUUUUAAAAUAUCUAUUUCAUUUGCUUUUUUUAAAAUGAUAAUUUUGUAUUAUGUUAGUCACCAUACAGUAUAUUUAUUUGCUUUUUUUAAAGUAGCCUCCACACCUAACAUGGGGCUCGAACUCACGACCCUCGAGUCGCACACUCCACUGACUGAGCCAGCCAGGUGCCCCAAGAAACACAUUCUUGGGUUGAAACUUCUUCUGCAAGUGCUGUCGCUGUGGUCUCUGGUCCUGUCCCGGGCCCACAGGCAAGUGUCUCACACUGGAUCGGAGCCGCAGGGGUGAAUGUGGGCAGCUGUGCAGGGGCUGCAGGCGGAGUCGUCUGCUGGAGGGCUCGGCUGCCUCCUUUCUCCCUGCAGUUGGGGAAGGCUGGGGUUCCAGCUGCCUCUUUGCCACUUUCAGGCUGACCCUGGGUAAGUGACGUCAUCGCCCUUAGCGUCAGUUUCCCUGCCUGCAAAAUAAGGUGUCUGCUCAUCUCAGCCUGACAUUCAGGCUCACAGUCUCUCCCCUCAGGUACUCUCUCCUCUGGUUCUCACUCUGUGCUGCACGGUAGAACCACCCAGAAGCUUUAAAAAAAAAUGCACCCACGGGCACCGGGCGAUCCCCUCACAGCUGCAUUUCUGCUUCAGUCGGCCCCGCACCCCUGCUUCCCUGUCUCUAUCACCCCCUUAAGGCCACUCCCUCCCCACCAUCUUCUCUGAUUGCUGGAGGAUGUAAGGGUUAAGAGUGUAGAAUUCUGUCUAUACCACAUAUACAGUCCUUCUCACCUUUCAGGACUUCAACAAAAAUCUCAGGUGCUGCCUUUUCUAGCAUCAUCUGCGGCUCCUCUCCUCUUCCUGUCUUAUGUCCACUCAGCUGGAAUUUGGCCUCCAACUCUGAUAGGAGCUGUGCUCAUAAAGGCCACCAGUGACCCUCACCCUGGAGCGCACUCCUGACCUUCAGAGGCCCGGAUUCAGCUGCCUCUCUGGCCUCUCCACUUGGCUACCUGGAGGCUGGUUCAGCCCAGCGCCCCAGACAGGAGCGCGUGCUCCUUCCUAGCCUGCUCUGUCCACAGCCUGCUCGUCCUGCCUGCCACUUGCUCUGGCCAGAAACCCUGGGGUGAUCUUUGACUCCACUUUCCUUCAUGCCCCACCUCAUUCCAUCUGCAAAUCCUGUUGGUUUGACCUUCCUAAAAAUCCAGAACCCGUUACUUGUCAUCCCCACUGCCUCGUCUCGGCUGAGCCGUUAACACCAUUCUCCAUCCUGCAUUCAACACCUCUCCUCUUUCACCUGGCCUCCGGGCUGCUCCUCAACCAUGCCCCUACCUGGGGCCAUUGCUCAGGCUGUUACCCUUGCCUGGAUGUUCCAGAUGUCUGCAGGGCCCGCAGCCUGCCUUCCCUUACCUCUCAUUUAAUAUUGCAGUCUCUGCCUCCACCCGGCCCCUCCAGCUCCUUUAACACUGCUCUACCUUUUCUUUCUUUCUUUUUUAAUUUGAUAUCUCUUCUUAUAUUCUAGAUGAUUUACUUAUUUACUAAGGCUCAAAAUAAACUAAAAAAUUUCUGUCUCUCUCCCUGGUACUGAACAAAAGCUCACGAAGGCAGGCAUCUUCACUGUCACAGACACAGCACAGUUGCCUGGGUUGGUGGCUGGCGUCUAGCUCUGUGGGAGCAUCCGUUGUGUGAAUGAGCAAAUGAACGAGUUCCUUGACCUUCCCAGGCAGACGUGGGCAUCCUCAAGGUGAAGGGGUGUCAUUGGCCCCUUGCACCACUGCCCUGGGGUGGAGUGGGGGUAGAGUAUUUGUUAAAAAUGCACGGUGAUUCUGCCAGCAUGCCAGCAAGCCCCUCUCCUGUAAUCUGUGCUCAGGCUUGCGUCCGAGAACCACAGCUGGGAAUAAAGCCUGCAGGCUUGGAGUCAGGAACCCAGUGGGUUCUAGAGCCGAGUUAGAGCACAUCACACAGCAUUAUUGCCAUUGUCAUUGUCCUGGACUCCCUCAGUGCUUAACCUCUGCUUUUCACAGAACACUGAUCAUAGGUGUUUAAAAGAAGAGUUUAAGGGGCGCCUGGGUGGCCCUUUCAUUAAGCAUCUGCCUUCGGCUCAGGGCGUGAUCCCGGCGUUCUGGGAUCGAUCCCCACAUCAGGCUCCUCUGCUGGGAGCCUGCUUCUUCCUCUCCCACUCCCCCUGCUUGUGUUUCCUCUCUCGCUGGCUGUCUCUCUCUCUCUCUCUCAAAUAAAUAAAUAAAUAAAUAAAUAAAUCUUAAAAAAAAAAGAGUUUAAAGAUACUUGACAGGUGGAAUGAGUAGUUGGACAUAGGAUAAAGCAAAUGCAGUAACAUAAGAGUAGCAUGUAGGUGGCUGGGUAUACAGAUGCUCAAUAAACAAUGCUUUCAGCUUUGAACGCUCGAGACUUUGUAUGUUUGAAAAUUUUUCAUAAUAAAAUGCCGGGAAGCAUGCUAUUAUGAACUUAAAAACGCUCAUUGCAGGAAAACUGGAAAAUACAGAAAAAGAGAAGGAAGCAAAAUAAUUCCAGUAACCACCCCUAGCCCCAGCACCCAGAGGGAUUCUCCUUGAAGACGUUGGUGUAUAUCUUUCUAGUCUUUUUGUCGUGUGUAUUUAUUUUGUUACAUAGUAGUAAUUGUAUAGAUUACCCCAAAUUGAACACACUGAUGUUUGUCAGGGGUGUGUGUGUGUGU
Ailuropoda melanoleuca (giant panda) is the source of this 3639-nucleotide long non-coding RNA. The record is from Ensembl. Lineage: Eukaryota; Metazoa; Chordata; Mammalia; Carnivora; Ursidae.